Molecule: transfer RNA, 69 nt
Filed under: Camelus bactrianus (Bactrian camel)
Lineage: Eukaryota; Metazoa; Chordata; Mammalia; Artiodactyla; Camelidae
Also listed under: 1 other name
Rfam family: tRNA
About the family: Transfer RNA (tRNA) molecules are approximately 80 nucleotides in length. Their secondary structure includes four short double-helical elements and three loops (D, anti-codon, and T loops).
Source: Rfam by way of RNAcentral
GGCAUAGCUCAGUGGUAGAGUGUGUGCUUAGCACGCACAAGUUCCUGAGUUCAAUCCCCAGUACUGCCA